UGUGACAUGUCAUUGGAACACACACCAGAGA
RNAcentral lists this non-coding RNA (31 nucleotides) under Homo sapiens (human). The record is from RNAcentral. Lineage: Eukaryota; Metazoa; Chordata; Mammalia; Primates; Hominidae.